GAUGAACGCUGGCGGCGUGCUUAACACAUGCAAGUCGAACGAUGAAGCCCAGCUUGCUGGGUGGAUUAGUGGCGAACGGGUGAGUAACACGUGAGUAACCUGCCCUUAACUCUGGGAUAAGCCUGGGAAACUGGGUCUAAUACCGGAUAGGAGCGUCCACCGCAUGGUGGGUGUUGGAAAGAUUUAUCGGUUUUGGAUGGACUCGCGGCCUAUCAGCUUGUUGGUGAGGUAAUGGCUCACCAAGGCGACGACGGGUAGCCGGCCUGAGAGGGUGACCGGCCACACUGGGACUGAGACACGGCCCAGACUCCUACGGGAGGCAGCAGUGGGGAAUAUUGCACAAUGGGCGCAAGCCUGAUGCAGCGACGCCGCGUGAGGGAUGACGGCCUUCGGGUUGUAAACCUCUUUCAGUAGGGAAGAAGCGAAGUGACGGUACCUGCAGAAGAAGCACCGGCUAACUACGUG
RNAcentral lists this ribosomal RNA (465 nucleotides) under uncultured bacterium. Its description in RNAcentral is "partial 16S ribosomal RNA". It matches the Rfam family "Bacterial small subunit ribosomal RNA", at positions 28 to 507 of the family's 1533-position model. The record is from RNAcentral.